GACGAACGCUGGCGGCGUGCUUAACACAUGCAAGUCGAGCGGUAAGGCCCUUUCGGGGGUACACGAGCGGCGAACGGGUGAGUAACACGUGGGUGACCUGCCCUCAGCUUCUGGGAUAAGCCCGGGAAACUGGGUCUAAUACCGGAUAUGACUUCAUGACGCAUGUUGUGGAGUGGAAAGCCUUGUGCGGCUGAGGAUGGGCCCGCGGCCUAUCAGCUUGUUGGUGGGGUGANGGCCUACCAAGGCGACGACGGGGUAGCCGGCCUGAGAGGGCGACCGGGCCACACUGGGACUGAGAUA
This 300-nucleotide ribosomal RNA is filed under the name uncultured bacterium. Its description in RNAcentral is "bacterial SSU rRNA". It matches the Rfam family "Bacterial small subunit ribosomal RNA", at positions 28 to 326 of the family's 1533-position model. The record is from RNAcentral.